Molecule: long non-coding RNA, 388 nt
Filed under: Zostera marina
Lineage: Eukaryota; Viridiplantae; Streptophyta; Magnoliopsida; Alismatales; Zosteraceae
Description: long non-coding RNA (ZMAR_LNC004638)
Source: RNAcentral
GAAGAUAACGGUGGAGUUCUGGACUCCUUCUAUACCAGGAGUGUGAAGGAAAAGCCGUACUACAUCUCUGUCAUCCAGAUUAGUAAACUUCUCCGGUCACCGGAGGCUGAGGCACCUACUCCGGCGCCGAGCGCUUAUAAUCUCACCGAGCUCAUGACGAAGAAAGGUUGCAAGGUAAAAAAAAAACAAGAAGCAAAAUCUGUAUAAAAUAUUAAAAUGCAUGUAGAAUCUCACUGCAAUGAUUACCGGUGAAUAGGUGUUCGCCGAUUUACUCUCAGCCACGCCUGCGGUGGAGAAAACCUUCAUCGACAACGUCGAAGGUGGUCUGACGGUCUUCUGUCCUAUAGACCAAGCCAUGACCAAGUUCAUGCCUAAGUACAAGAAACUG